AUUGAAAUACGAAUCCCAGAAAUCUAAAUCCAGCAGCGUGGCUGUCGGAAACGACUUUGGCUUUCCCUCUCCUGUCCCAGGAACUGGCGACGCCAACCCCGCUGUGUCUGAAGAUGCCUUAUUCAGGGACAAGCUGAAACACAUGGGAAAGUCCACCCGGAGGAAACUGUUUGAACUUGCCCGAGCCUUCUCAGAGAAGACCAAAAUGAGGAAGUCAAAGAGGAAACACUUGUUGAAGCAUCAGUCGCUGGGGGCUGCCGCGUCAACAGCCAACCUCCUGGAUGAUGUGGAGGGCCACGCGUGUGGUGAGGCUGGAGGGGAGUCGUAAGCUCCAACUUCUCUAUGAUCGGUGAUCUCCCAGCGGAGUUCCUGGGUGUUUCAUGGGAGCACCCGCCCUGUCCCCUGGAGGAACACACUGAGGGUUGGUGGGCAGGUGACCCAAAGAAAUGGAUCCCCCUGACUUGGUCGACAUUGCCUCCCCCUUCCUGCAACCCCUGAAAGGGGGCCCUAGCCCUACUUCCACCUAGAUGUGUACCUGUAGCAUGAAGUGCCAGGUACUGUUUCUGGGGAAUAUUCUUUUGGGUGUGAGGUGGCAGACAGGCCUGCCCCCAUGGGGGACCCUCGGCCUGAGAACCAAGCACUGGGCAGCUUCAGUCUGUGGGCCCAGAGGCUUCUCAACUUUCACCCAGUCCCUUCCAAAGGCCACGUGGGUCAGAAGACUCUGCCUCAGACCCUCCUGGGCCCGCAGCUGAACCCUGAUCCUCAUGCCGCAUUCGAGGGUCAGGAGGCAUCCAGAAACAAGGACUGGAAGGGCCUCAGAGGUCAUCUAGAUAGUCCAGCUUUUCCAUCCCAUUUUAUAGAUGAGGAAAUUGAGGCCCAAAGACGAGGGGAGAACUUGUCCAAGGUCUCAGAGCUCAGUGGUGGACCCUGGCCAGCACCUGAGUGUCCUGCUGCCUCUCUCCCUGGACCCAUGCAUCGUCUACCUGGGGGGAUCUGCAUGGGCCCCAAAUGAAGGGGGCAGAGAGAGUCGGGUCAGCUCUCUUGCCCAGUCUGGGGGCCGUGCCUGAGCGAGGCCCUGCAGGGUAGAGGAUGAGGCAGCUUCCCUCUCCUUUUCAGAUGAAGACUUCCGGGGCAGGCGUCAGGAGGCACCCAAGGUGGAGGAAGGCCUGCGAGAAGGACAGUAAGAGAUGCCAGCAGCUCUUCCUUGCCAGAGAUGAUCUGACCCGGUGGGGGCAGCUGGAAAGCAACACUGGCCCCCAGCUGAAGGGCCCAGCUGCAGCCAGACAGAUGGUGCUUGAGAACCGAGGCCCAGUGAUCCUCCAGCCACAGUCCAGCCCAACCACUGCCACUUUCCAUGGGACUUAGAACUUCGGAGUUGCUGCCUUGCAAUUGGAGGAAGGACCUGGGGCCCCUAUAGGCAGCAGCCAAUUACAGCCCCUUUUGUAGCCAGGCGUUCCUAUGGUCAAAGAGUGGAAAUGCAGGAACCAACCUCCCUUUAAAAAAAAAAAAAAUCCAGAAAGCAGAUAAAAGUUGGAAUAUGGAAAAGGGCAAGAUGACCCCACCAGAGGCUCUUUGGCCUGAAGGUGGAGUCUCUGCCUCCCUCCGUUCUCUAUCUCUCCUGUCACAGACUCUGCCUGACCCCCCUUCCUCAGCUCCCUUCUGGUCCCCCUUCCUCAGCUCCCUCCGGGCACUUGUGCCCCUCCCUUCGAUGGCCUCCUGUAUCUCAGCCUUCCCCCCGGGGCUGCUGGCCCAGCACAUGAGCCCUGCACCCAGCCUGGGUGGGAGGUCCCUGGCCAGUCCCCCAGGAACUCUGAGGAGCUAUGGGCUACUGCACAGCAUCUGCCAACUGCCCUGCCCCGUCUGGCCUCAUCAGGCUGCUGCUGUUAGGGAUGGGCUCACUCCCAGCAGUUCCCCAUCACCCAGCGGGGAUGGGGAGGGUGGCCACCCUGGAGCUGGAGGACUCUGGGGAGGCAGGGUCUUUAAUUUGGCAGCAGACAAAAGCCAGUUCUGGAGUCACACCACAGUAGGGGCUCACAGGGGCUCUGACUCCCCAGCUGGACUGGAAGCCCUGCUGUCCGAGGGUGGGCAGCGGUGGGUCCUGGAGUGACCCCUUUGAGCAGGUACAUGGCUAAAGAGCAAGGCGGAAAGGCCGCCAGCCUGGGUGGGAGCGCCUAGGGCAGAAGGGCUUGCUGGGUGCCCUGAGAAGGGCGGGUGAUCUGAGGAGGAGAACUCUGAUUCUAGGAACGCUUACACGGCACUGACCACUGCCACGGGGAGGGAGGCUGCCCAGCCCGUGGCCCCGCCCUGGACAUGGGAGGGCGCAGACCUUCCGGAGAGCCGGGAAGCCUGGGCAGGCACGAGGCUUCGGCGCGGCUUUGGGAGGUUGGGAGUGGCAUCCGAUCCUUGGCCGGGCCCUGGUGGCCUCCGUGGCCCCAAGAUCACAAGGGCGUAGCGAAGGCGAGCCGGCGAUCGCACCUCGUCCCGCCCACCCUGCCCGGACUCGCAACGCCGAGCUGGGGGAGGGCCGGGACGCGCAGCCGCCGCCGAGCGUGACCAAGUUUGGAAACGCGCGCGGGGCCAGGACGCUGGCUCGGGGGGCCCUGCCGAGGAGCGGCCGCCCCCUCCGCUGCUCCCCGCGCCAGGCCUGGGGCCCUGGAGGCGGGGGGGGGGUCUCCGAGGAGUGCCUCGGUCCCCCAGCUCGAGUUCCCGACGGGUCUCUGAGCCUUCCCCGCGCCAGGACUCGGCGCACUGUGGGGGAAGCCCCAGCCCCACGUCUGUUGAGUGUUGCUUUGUAUUUUUUUUCCUCCUAUGUGUGGGUUUUUUCUUGGAGCUGUUUCAUAGGAAUUCCUGUAAUAAAGAGUUGGUGUUC
Molecule: small RNA, 2869 nt
Filed under: Pan troglodytes (chimpanzee)
Lineage: Eukaryota; Metazoa; Chordata; Mammalia; Primates; Hominidae
Description: retained intron
Source: RNAcentral